AGCGAACGGGGAGGAGCCCAGAGCCUGAAUCAGUGUGUGUGUUAGUGGAAGCGUCUGGAAAGGCGCGCGAUACAGGGUGACAGCCCCGUACACAAAAAUGCACAUGCUGUGAGCUCGAUGAGUAGGGCGGGACACGUGGUAUCCUGUCUGAAUAUGGGGGGACCAUCCUCCAAGGCUAAAUACUCCUGACUGACCGAUAGUGAACCAGUACCGUGAGGGAAAGGCGAAAAGAACCCCGGCGAGGGGAGUGAAAAAGAACCUGAAACCGUGUACGUACAAGCAGUGGGAGCCUCUUAAUGGGGUGACUGCGUACCUUUUGUAUAAUGGGUCAGCGACUUAUAUUCUGUAGCAAGGUUAACCGAAUAGGGGAGCCGAAGGGAAACCGAGUCUUAACUGGGCGUUAAGUUGCAGGGUAUAGACCCGAAACCCGGUGAUCUAGCCAUGGGCAGGUUGAAGGUUGGGUAACACUAACUGGAGGACCGAACCGACUAAUGUUGAAAAAUUAGCGGAUGACUUGUGGCUGGGGGUGAAAGGCCAAUCAAACCGGGAGAUAGCUGGUUCUCCCCGAAAGCUAUUUAGGUAGCGCCUCGUGAAUUCAUCUCCGGGGGUAGAGCACUGUUUCGGCAAGGGGGUCAUCCCGACUUACCAACCCGAUGCAAACUGCGAAUACCGGAGAAUGUUAUCACGGGAGACACACGGCGGGUGCUAACGUCCGUCGUGAAGAGGGAAACAACCCAGACCGCCAGCUAAGGUCCCAAAGUCAUGGUUAAGUGGGAAACGAUGUGGGAAGGCCCAGACAGCCAGGAUGUUGGCUUAGAAGCAGCCAUCAUUUAAAGAAAGCGUAAUAGCUCACUGGUCGAGUCGGCCUGCGCGGAAGAUGUAACGGGGCUAAACCAUGCACCGAAGCUGCGGCAGCGACACUAUGUGUUGUUGGGUAGGGGAGCGUUCUGUAAGCCUGUGAAGGUGUACUGUGAGGUAUGCUGGAGGUAUCAGAAGUGCGAAUGCUGACAUAAGUAACGAUAAAGCGGGUGAAAAGCCCGCUCGCCGGAAGACCAAGGGUUCCUGUCCAACGUUAAUCGGGGCAGGGUGAGUCGACCCCUAAGGCGAGGCCGAAAGGCGUAGUCGAUGGGAAACAGGUUAAUAUUCCUGUACUUGGUGUUACUGCGAAGGGGGGACGGAGAAGGCUAUGUUGGCCGGGCGACGGUUGUCCCGGUUUAAGCGUGUAGGCUGGUUUUCCAGGCAAAUCCGGAAAAUCAAGGCUGAGGCGUGAUGACGAGGCACUACGGUGCUGAAGCAACAAAUGCCCUGCUUCCAGGAAAAGCCUCUAAGCAUCAGGUAACAUCAAAUCGUACCCCAAACCGACACAGGUGGUCAGGUAGAGAAUACCAAGGCGCUUGAGAGAACUCGGGUGAAGGAACUAGGCAAAAUGGUGCCGUAACUUCGGGAGAAGGCACGCUGAUAUGUAGGUGAAGCGACUUGCUCGUGGAGCUGAAAUCAGUCGAAGAUACCAGCUGGCUGCAACUGUUUAUUAAAAACACAGCACUGUGCAAACACGAAAGUGGACGUAUACGGUGUGACGCCUGCCCGGUGCCGGAAGGUUAAUUGAUGGGGUUAGCGGUAACGCGAAGCUCUUGAUCGAAGCCCCGGUAAACGGCGGCCGUAACUAUAACGGUCCUAAGGUAGCGAAAUUCCUUGUCGGGUAAGUUCCGACCUGCACGAAUGGCGUAAUGAUGGCCAGGCUGUCUCCACCCGAGACUCAGUGAAAUUGAACUCGCUGUGAAGAUGCAGUGUACCCGCGGCAAGACGGAAAGACCCCGUGAACCUUUACUAUAGCUUGACACUGAACAUUGAGCCUUGAUGUGUAGGAUAGGUGGGAGGCUUUGAAGUGUGGACGCCAGUCUGCAUGGAGCCGACCUUGAAA
RNAcentral lists this ribosomal RNA (1921 nucleotides) under human gut metagenome. Its description in RNAcentral is "bacterial LSU rRNA". It matches the Rfam family "Bacterial large subunit ribosomal RNA", at positions 252 to 2197 of the family's 2925-position model. The record is from RNAcentral.